GACGAACGCUGGCGGCGUGCUUAACACAUGCGAGUCGAACGGAAAGGCCUGCUUUCCCUUGUGGAUUGCGGGUACUCGAGUGGCGAACGGGUGAGUAACACGUGAGUGAUCUGCCCCCAACUUGGGUAUAAGCCUGGGAAACUGGGUCUAAUUCCCGAUAGGACUGCAGGGUGGUGCCUGUGGUGGAAAACGAUUUUCUAGUGGUUGGGGAUGAGCUCGCGGCCUAUCAGCUUGUUGGUGGGGUAAUGGCCUACCAAGGCGGCGACGGGUAGCCGGCCUGAGAGGGUGGACGGCCACAUUGGGACUGGGAUACGGCCCAGACUCCUACGGGAGGCAGCAGUGGGGAAUAUUGGCCAAUGGGCGGAAGCCUGAUGCAGCGACGCCGCGUGGGGGAUGACGGUCUUCGGGUUGUAAACUCCUUUCGACCGCGAGGAAGCCACCUGGUUGGAAGGGUGGUGACGGUAGUGGUAGAAGAAGCACCGGCUAACUACGUG
Molecule: ribosomal RNA, 494 nt
Filed under: uncultured bacterium
Lineage: Bacteria
Description: partial 16S ribosomal RNA
Rfam family: Bacterial small subunit ribosomal RNA
Source: RNAcentral